GUGUUGACAAACCCUAGCCGCCAUGAGGCAAAUUCUCUCUCUUUGUCAUCUACAACGCCAGAAAUGGCAAAUACACAGUGUACGUUUGCUUUAUUUCAAUCAUUGCUCAACCAUUUUUGGUAAAGCAAUUAAUGCUUUGCCCUCCCUUCGUCGAGACACCAUCAAACAAGUUGAGUCCCAAAGGACUCCAAAUUGAAUUUUGAAGUCGGCUGCACCCAAAAAAGUCGAGAUGAAAGGGAAGCUAAUAUAUAUAUAUAUGCGUGGAUGAUAGAAGGCCCAACUAUGGGUGAAAAUGGUUAUCUAGGGGCUUGGCACGCCCCUAGCCUAACUUUCCUCUUUAAAUACUAUGUUUUAUUUUAUGUAAUGAUGUAUUUUUUGAAGUUGUAUUUAUUUGUAAAAACACAUUGUAUCUAUUGAAACCUUUAUGGUAUGUACUAGACGUCUUAGGACAACGACGCCUAUGUCGUUUAGUUUUUGACUUUAGGUACCCUCAAACGAUUUUCAAAAACUUGGGAUAGAACCCUUCUUUUUUUAGAAAUUAACGAGUA
Lycium barbarum (goji berry) is the source of this 548-nucleotide long non-coding RNA. RefSeq lists it as uncharacterized. The transcript has 3 exons. Lineage: Eukaryota; Viridiplantae; Streptophyta; Magnoliopsida; Solanales; Solanaceae. The record is from RefSeq and is a predicted model, not a curated record.